Betta splendens (Siamese fighting fish) is the source of this 1046-nucleotide long non-coding RNA. RefSeq lists it as uncharacterized. The record is from RefSeq and is a predicted model, not a curated record. NCBI's taxonomy places the organism in Eukaryota, Metazoa, Chordata, Actinopteri, Anabantiformes, Osphronemidae. The transcript is spliced from 3 exons.
GCGGCAAAAAGCGGCCAAACAAUCAGGAAUCACGUGAAACAAAGUGGUCACAGUUUGCUUCAAGCUUUUAAUUAAACCGCGAAUUAAACGAAAGGAACUCGACCAACGUCACGGCAGCUCCAGGUGAGGCCAAUCAGCAGUGACGUCACAACCCAGGGACGCAUUGGAUCCACACGGAGCUGUUAAACUAAAGGACGGCGUCUGAGCGGAGGCUGAAACACUGGCCCCGUUAAUGUUCCAGGUCGGUUUUUUACGCGUUAACGAGGGACCGCGUCAACCGGAUGACCGACUGGUUGCCCGUGGUUACGGCCGCUCGUUAUCCGUCCUCGUCUUCACGUGAUCUGAACAACGGUGCUGCUGCUCAAUUCACGAUGUGUCCUGAAACUGCCCAAUUACCGCUCUGGCGAUUGAAGAAACAACAACAAAGGACACAGCGCGGCAGCGUUCCCACAGUGCUUAGUGAGGCCGCGGUGGCCGGACCCGGACGGGACGGGACAUCUGAAUGGUAAACAGCCGUCCUCCCCUCAGGAUGUGUUAACGAUGUGCAUGUGAACAGGCGACGCAGAAUCUGGCAAAAUACAACAAGUACAAACCAGCAGAAGCAGGACGCUGCUAAUAAGAAAGCGAAGGAACGGCUCCAGGACCGAGGGGAGCUGGAUCAGCGCUGACUAGAACAGGUCCAUUUAGGAGCAGGUCCACUCUUCCCUUUAGAGAUAAAUGAGUUGUCAACCUUUUAACUGGCCGUGUCUUUAACGAAUCCUUUGACAUUUGUUUCAGGUUUUGUCUCAAACUACAGGCGACCAAAUUAAUAACAGGACACAACGAGAAUUUAUUAACAUGCAUGUGUUUAAUUCUGAGCAAAUAUUUCCUGUUUCUGCUUUAUCAGCCUGGAGGAUCGUAGCUGGUUCCUCUUUACAGCACAGCUUCAGCUCAGGAAUGUUGGUCGUCAUUGGUGACGCAAAGGUCGAGACUCAAGCAUCACAAGCCUUCGUCUGAUAAAACUCGGAUCUGUGAUUACGAAGUUGUAUUAAAUGAUGAAUCUCUUG